Molecule: ribosomal RNA, 201 nt
Filed under: Triticum aestivum (bread wheat)
Lineage: Eukaryota; Viridiplantae; Streptophyta; Magnoliopsida; Poales; Poaceae
Description: partial small subunit ribosomal RNA
Source: RNAcentral
AUGGAAUCAUGUGGUUACAUUCAUGGCCCUUCCGUAGUUCCGUUGGAACAUCUUUUCGUGGGAGCAGUUGUUGUUAACGUUCGUUUUCGUGCUAGUUUAAUUACAAAUUACAGUAGAAGCGCGGAGGAACAGAGGAAGUGUCGGUUUGCUUUGCUUUCCGGGAGAUUUCUCAUACAUUCGCUUUUGCAAAAGGAAAAAUGA